This 253-nucleotide ribosomal RNA is filed under the name uncultured bacterium. RNAcentral describes it as "partial 16S ribosomal RNA". It matches the Rfam family "Bacterial small subunit ribosomal RNA", at positions 524 to 776 of the family's 1533-position model. The record is from RNAcentral.
UACGUAGGGGGCAAGCGUUGUCCGGAAUCAUUGGGCGUAAAGAGCGUGUAGGCGGCCUGGUAGGUCCGCUGUGAAAGUCCAGGGCUCAACCCUGGAAUGCCGGUGGAAACUGUCAGGCUCGAGUCCGGAAGAGGCGAGUGGAAUUCCUGGUGUAGCGGUGAAAUGCGCAGAUAUCAGGAGGAACACCAAUGGCGAAGGCAGCUCGCUGGGACGGUACUGACGCUGAGACGCGAAAGCGUGGGGAGCAAAUAGG